AGGACGAACGCUGGCGGCGUGCCUAACACAUGCAAGUCGAGCGAGGAGAUCCUUCGGGAUGAUCCUAGCGGCGGACGGGUGAGUAACACGUGGGCAACCUGCCUCAUAGAGAGGAAUAGCCUUCCGAAAGGGAGAUUAAUACCUCAUAACAUUGCAGUUUCGCAUGGAACAGCAAUUAAAGGAGUAAUCCGCUAUGAGAUGGGCCCCGCGGCGCAUUAGCUAGUUGGUGAGGUAACGGCUCACCAAGGCGACGAUGCGUAGCCGACCUGAGAGGGUGAUCGGCCACAUUGGGACUGAGACACGGCCCAGACUCCUACGGGAGGCAGCAGUGGGGAAUAUUGCACAAUGGGGGAAACCCUGAUGCAAGCAACGCCGCGUGAGUGAUGACGGCCUUCGGGUUGUAAAGCUCUGUCUUCAGGGACGAUAAUGACGGUACCUGAGGAGGAAGCCACGGCUAACUACGUGCCAGCCGCUGC
RNAcentral lists this ribosomal RNA (476 nucleotides) under uncultured bacterium. RNAcentral's name for it is "bacterial SSU rRNA". It matches the Rfam family "Bacterial small subunit ribosomal RNA", at positions 26 to 518 of the family's 1533-position model. The record is from RNAcentral.